RNAcentral lists this ribosomal RNA (450 nucleotides) under uncultured bacterium. Its description in RNAcentral is "partial 16S ribosomal RNA". It matches the Rfam family "Bacterial small subunit ribosomal RNA", at positions 354 to 796 of the family's 1533-position model. The record is from RNAcentral.
GUGGGGAAUUUUGGACAAUGGGCGCAAGCCUGAUCCAGCAAUGCCGCGUGCAGGAAGAAGGCCUUCGGGUUGUAAACUGCUUUUGUACGGAACGAAAAGGUCUGGGUUAAUACCCUGGGCUCAUGACGGUACCGUAAGAAUAAGCACCGGCUAACUACGUGCCAGCAGCCGCGGUAAUACGUAGGGUGCGAGCGUUAAUCGGAAUUACUGGGCGUAAAGCGUGCGCAGGCGGUUUUGUAAGACAGGCGUGAAAUCCCCGGGCUCAACCUGGGAAUGGCGCUUGUGACUGCAAAGCUGGAGUGCGGCAGAGGGGGAUGGAAUUCCGCGUGUAGCAGUGAAAUGCGUAGAUAUGCGGAGGAACACCGAUGGCGAAGGCAAUCCCCUGGGCCUGCACUGACGCUCAUGCACGAAAGCGUGGGGAGCAAACAGGAUUAGAUACCCUAGUAGUCC